RNAcentral lists this microRNA (23 nucleotides) under Gallus gallus (chicken). Its description in RNAcentral is "gga-miR-7479-3p". Lineage: Eukaryota; Metazoa; Chordata; Aves; Galliformes; Phasianidae. The record is from miRBase by way of RNAcentral.
GUAGAUGUCAUGUCAUGACUGGC